UACGUAGGGACCGAGCGUUGUCCGGAAUCAUUGGGCGUAAAGAGCGUGUAGGCGGCCACUUAAGUCCUGCGUGAAAUCUUGCGGCUCAACCGCAAGCGGUCGUGGGAAACUGGGUGGCUAGAGUGCGGGAGAGGAGAGUGGAAUUCCUGGUGUAGCGGUGGAAUGCGCAGAUAUCAGGAAGAACACCCGUGGCGAAGGCGGCCCUUUGGAACGCAACUGACGCUGAGACGCGAAAGCGUGGGGAGCAAACAGG
RNAcentral lists this ribosomal RNA (253 nucleotides) under uncultured bacterium. RNAcentral's name for it is "partial 16S ribosomal RNA". It matches the Rfam family "Bacterial small subunit ribosomal RNA", at positions 524 to 776 of the family's 1533-position model. The record is from RNAcentral.